AAUAUAACAAACAAAAGAAUUAGGAGUAAAAGAGCAAACUGGUUAGUGUCAGUCUCAGUUUUAGUGCAGGAGGUUUUUGUACAGCCGUUGAUUGGGUUUGUAUCACUGUGGUGGACUUUCGGUGGAGGCACUCGACUCUCAGUUGGAACUGCGGCUCGUCCCGCUCUCACAGUGCUGCCGCCCUCCAGAGACCAGCUGCAGCAGGGUAAGGCUACAGUGCUGUGUGUGGCCAGUAAGGGAUUCCCCUCUGACUGGAAGCUGAGCUGGAAGGUGGACGGCAGCAGCAGGAGCUCUGGUGUCAAUCUGAGUCCCAGUCAGCUGCAGAAGGAUGGACUGUACAGCUGGAGCAGCAGCCUGAGCCUCACUGAGAGUGAGUGGAGCAGAGCAACGACCGUCAGCUGUGACGCCACUCACCCAUCCCACAGUGCAGUGACCAAGAGCCUCAACACACAGCAGUGCGAUGAAUGAAACACACACACACACACAC
Non-coding RNA from Sinocyclocheilus anshuiensis, 487 nucleotides. The record is from the annotation of a RefSeq genome assembly. NCBI's taxonomy places the organism in Eukaryota, Metazoa, Chordata, Actinopteri, Cypriniformes, Cyprinidae.